RNAcentral lists this long non-coding RNA (655 nucleotides) under Mus musculus (house mouse). Its description in RNAcentral is "predicted gene, 57869". Lineage: Eukaryota; Metazoa; Chordata; Mammalia; Rodentia; Muridae. The record is from RNAcentral.
UUGCCUGGUCUGUAUCAAAAGACAGAAUCUUGAUGACUAAGACAUUUUCUUUGGUACCUACAAGAAGGAUCCAGCUCUCUACUUCUAUCAGCUCCUGGAUAACUACAAGAAAGGGAACCUCCACAUCAUUCCAGACACUCCUCUGGCUGAGGAGAGAUCAGGAGAUGACAGUGAUGUGUUGAUAGACAGAGACAUCAUGGCCUCCAUGCAGAGGAAUGUGUGGAUGGACAUAUAUUUAAGGAAGACACUAAACCAGAAAAUACCACAUUACACCCUCUUAAAAGACUUCUAAGAUUGUUGUCAUGCCUACCACAGACAUUCAGAUGAUGUGUAUUCUUGAUUGUGAUUUCAUGUUUGGAGCUGAUGAAGGAGAAAGUACCUGGAAUGUCCUAGAAUUCUCAAGACCCAGGAGAUGAACAUAUGCCUGAGAAGAAGAACUAGUGUGGAACUGUCAGCCAGGUUUUUGAUGAGUGCUCAGACUGCUUCCUGAUCCGGCACCACAUUUACUAUAGUGGACAGAUGCUCUAGUCUCUGAUGAGGAGUUGCUAGCUGUUAGGAAAAACCUGGAAUGGGCUCCACUGCAUGAGGUUUGAAGUCUCCAGAGCAGCAAAGAGAGUGGGGAGUAGAACUCAUCAUCUUUAGGUCACUCAGCAUC